AGAGUUUGAUCAUGGCUCAGAUUGAACGCUGGCGGCAUGCCUUACACAUGCAAGUCGAACGGCAGCAUGAUCUAGCUUGCUAGAUUGAUGGCGAGUGGCGAACGGGUGAGUAAUACAUCGGAACGUGCCCUGUAGUGGGGGAUAACUAGUCGAAAGAUUAGCUAAUACCGCAUACGACCUGAGGGUGAAAGUGGGGGACCGCAAGGCCUCAUGCUAUAGGAGCGGCCGAUGUCUGAUUAGCUAGUUGGUGAGGUAAAGGCUCACCAAGGCGACGAUCAGUAGCUGGUCUGAGAGGACGAUCAGCCACACUGGGACUGAGACACGGCCCAGACUCCUACGGGAGGCAGCAGUGGGGAAUUUUGGACAAUGGGCGAAAGCCUGAUCCAGCAAUGCCGCGUGUGUGAAGAAGGCCUUCGGGUUGUAAAGCACUUUUGUCCGGAAAGAAAUGGCUCUGGUUAAUACCUGGGGUCGAUGACGGUACCGGAAGAAUAAGGACCGGCUAACUACGUGCCAGCAGCCGCGGUAAUACGUAGGGUCCAAGCGUUAAUCGGAAUUACUGGGCGUAAAGCGUGCGCAGGCGGUUGUGCAAGACCGAUGUGAAAUCCCCGAGCUUAACUUGGGAAUUGCAUUGGUGACUGCACGGCUAGAGUGUGUCAGAGGGGGGUAGAAUUCCACGUGUAGCAGUGAAAUGCGUAGAGAUGUGGAGGAAUACCGAUGGCGAAGGCAGCCCCCUGGGAUAACACUGACGCUCAUGCACGAAAGCGUGGGGGAGCAAACAGGAUUAGAUACCCUGAUAGUCCACGCCCUAAACGAUGUCAACUAGUUGUUGGGGAUUCAUUUCCUUAGUAACGUAGCUAACGCGUGAAGUUGACCGCCUGGGGAGUACGGUCGCAAGAUUAAAACUCAAAGGAAUUGACGAAUCGUCGACCUGCAGGCAUGCAAGCUUGGCACUGGCGUCGUUUUACAACGUCGUGACUGGGAAAACCCUGGCGUUACCCAACUUAAUCGCC
Molecule: ribosomal RNA, 1010 nt
Filed under: uncultured bacterium
Lineage: Bacteria
Description: bacterial SSU rRNA
Rfam family: Bacterial small subunit ribosomal RNA
Source: RNAcentral